Long non-coding RNA from Symphalangus syndactylus (siamang), 2672 nucleotides. RefSeq lists it as uncharacterized. Lineage: Eukaryota; Metazoa; Chordata; Mammalia; Primates; Hylobatidae. The record is from RefSeq and is a predicted model, not a curated record.
CAGACAUCCCUAACUUAUAUAACAAGGAAAAACCAAUUAAUUUUAUGAGAAUGGUAUAUAUUUUAUACUAAAACUAGGUAAGUAUGAUACAAGAAAAGUACAGGCCCAUUUUAUUCAUGGAGAUGACUUUUAAAUUCUUUCUCUCUGUGUGUAUGUGCAUAUAUGCAUAUAGAUGUAAAAGUAUAUAGGUAGAUUAGAUAAAUAUAUACAGGUGUGUGUGCAUUUGUCAUGGUUGAUUAUGGGUGAAUUCAGGGUUGUAAAAAUGGUUCUAGAGUGAAAAAUCUUGUAGUAUAAUUUAUAUAUUAAUGGAUUAAAGACAAAAUCUCAUGAUUUUCACUGCUCUCAGACUUAUCUGAUUGGAUUGCAGUUGCAAUAAAAGGAUUUCAUGUAUUUCAACAUUUACUUAGCAUUACAAUUCAGUAAUAGGAAACCUUAAACAUUUCAAAAGUCAAGGGGACAAGGAUGUUAGCCACCAUUAACUGAAUUAAUGUUCAACAUAAUGUUAGUAGUCCUGAACAAUAAAAUAAAACAAACAAACAAAAAUCCAAGGUAUGAGAAUGAUGGGGGAGAAACAGACAUUUUUUCCCCUUCUUUUCUUUAUUUUUUGUAGGUGUUGUGACUGUCUACAAAGAAACCAGAGUUAGCAAAUUAUUAGUAUUAAGAGAGCAAGGAGCCGAAUACAAAACAAACUCACAAACUCAAAAGCAUUUAAAUUAUAGAAAAUACAAUUGAGACCGGUGGAGCCAAGAUGGCCGAAUAGGAAGAGCUCCAGUCUACAGUUCCCAGUGUGAGUGACGCAGAAGACGGGUGAUUUCUGCAUUUACAACUGAGAUAGCAAUGUUCAACUCUGAACGAAAUGCCAAAAACAAGUACCUGAAGGCUAAAGACAGUAAACAAAAGCAGGCAAGUUUUGGUGGGAAGAUGAAACUUGGAAGAAGGUGCCAUGAAGAGGAGGUUCACAGGCCUCCUAAAUUCUGUGCAUGGGCCCAUUUGUGGACCUGCCAACCCUAGACUAAGACCACUGACGGGAUAGCAGAGCUUGAUGUCUGCCUUCCUGGAUGACCUCAAGAUGGAGUCUUGCUCUGUUGCCCAGGCUGGAGUACAGUGGUAAGAUCGCGGCUCACUGCAACCUCCACCUCCUGGGUUCAAGCGAUUCCCCUGCCUCAGCCUCCUGAGUAGCUGGGACUACAACAGAAUCUAGAUCUCUCAACCCCUCACUGCCCCAGUUGCUCUCUGAUGCUUCACAGAUCAAAUAUAACAUUCUCCAGCUUUUCCAGCUGCUCUCAAAAGGAGACUAUAAGCAAGUCUACUAUUUUGGGAAACAUAAAUUGUGUUUAUAAUUAUAAAUAUAAACUAUGCACACAUCUAUGUAUAUGUGUUUAUGUGUGUGUGUAUAUCUAUAUAUCCAUAUAUAUGCACAUUCUGUAUGUUUCUAUUUUUAUUUCAUUUUCCAAACAAAUGUCUGUGGCUGAUAUGUAGAAAUUCAAGUGCUUUAUUUUAAUAGUGCUUUUAAUAGGCACACAUAGAGAACAAAGAUGAUUAGAAGUGGCCAUACUGGAUACCUUUGCCUUGUUUUCGUUGUUAGUUUCAACAUUUUACUAUGUGUGAUUAAAUAUAUGAUGCUGGAUUUAUGAUAUUUGCUUCUCUUAAUGCCUAAUAGAUUGAGGAAGUUCUCUUUUAAGAAUGAGUUUGUGAAGUGUUUCUAUUACUAACGGAAGUUGAGUUAUUGACAAAGGCCUUUUCUGAUUCAUUGAGGUAAUUAUAUGAAUUUUUAAACUUUUAUGUUUAAAUGUGAUAUAUUACAUUAGUAUAUUUUCUAAAGCUAAACAAUCCUCCUGUUACGGACUUAAGGUGAACUAGGUCACAAUAUAGAUUGGAUCUUUAUACAUAACUCUGUUGUGCUGUGUAAGAGUACAAAUUAACAUGAUCGUUUUGAAAGCAGAAUGGCAAUAUUUUUGUUAGUUUGUGUUUAUCUAUGCCCUAUGUCCAAGCAAUUCAAUCUGGAUACAUCACAGAGGACUUGUCAGUCAGGUCCAUAAAGAAUCACAUACAAAGUUUGUUUUCAGUUGAUUAUAUGUAUAGGUGUAGCUGUAGGGAAUUGAAUAGACUUUAAUAUGUAUUACUAUGAAAUGGUUAAGAAACAUGUAGUGGAUGUGUAUUGUGGGACACUAUCCAACAGUUAGAUGCAACUCACUAGAUUUACCUGUAACAUGAAGAGCUCUUAAAAACAGCUCUAAGUGAAGAAAGAAAUAAACAUUAUAAAUCUUUAUCACAUUUUUAUGUAAAUUAAAAAUAUACAUACAAAGCACAAUACAUGGAUACACACAUAUUCAAAGAAAAAAUUAAAAAAGAAUUCUUCCUGCUUUUCUGGCUUUGUUUAUGACUCAUCCUGCUGCCCACCUGGGAUGGCCUGCCCCUGCACCAAUCUAGACUCUAUAUAUAGUCAGUGAAUCCCCAGCUCAGGGGCAAUCUCUACAGGAAACUUCCCAGCAUAACUCUAGACCACAAUGAUCUCCCCCAUAUUUUGAAUUCCUGUGACAUAUUCAUACAUUUUCCACUCAAACAAUGUCAUACAUAAAACAAGGCAAAAAAAUAUCAGCUGUAAACAGGUAUUUUUGAUGUCCUUCUUCCUCUCUCCAACUAGAUGUUAGGUUGAGUGACUAUAUCCAUGC